CAAAAUCAUAAAUAAAUAGAAAAUAAAUGUAACUGUAAAAUUUUAGCAAGUAAGAGUUAUUAUCUAAGACUCUCCUACAAGUUGGACUACAGAGAGACAUGAAGCCAAGCUUGACAAUGAAAUUUGAUAAGGAAGGAGCAGUCAUUGGCUUAGUUAGGAAGCCAGCAAGUUGUGCAGACAAAGGGUUGUGAGCGUGGAUCGAUUGUCACAAUAGAUGAAGGUGGGGUUGUUGAAAGUGAUAUGCAAGUCAGUGAAUAAAUAAUGAAGCCAUUGGACUUCACAAGUAAGGGCAGCAAGUGCACAUAUUCGGCUUCGGAGCUGGAAUGAGAAACGGUCGUCUGCUUCUUGGAUUUCCAUGAAAUUAAAGAUUUUCUUAGGAAUACAGCAAAGCUAGUAGUGGAUCUUCUAUGGUUGGACAAGUUUCCUAAUCAAUAUCUGCAAAAUCGGAGAGAAGAAUGUGUUUGGCAUGCUUCAAGGCCAAGAAAAUACCUUAAAAGACUUGUCUUUAAUACGAAUUUUGGAAUGAAGAAUGUGUUUGGCAUGCUUAA
This is a long non-coding RNA of Lathyrus oleraceus (garden pea), 548 nucleotides long. RefSeq lists it as uncharacterized. The record is from RefSeq and is a predicted model, not a curated record. The transcript has 2 exons. NCBI's taxonomy places the organism in Eukaryota, Viridiplantae, Streptophyta, Magnoliopsida, Fabales, Fabaceae.